CAGAGGGUGCAAGCGUUAAUCGGAAUUACUGGGCGUAAAGGGCUUGUAGGCGGUUAAUUAAGUUAGAUGUGAAAUACCUGGGCUUAACCUGGGAAUGGCAUUUAAUACUGAUUAGCUAGAGUAUGGUAGAGGAAGGGGAAUUUCCGGUGUAGCAGUGAAAUGCGUAGAUAUCGGAAGGAACAUCAGUGGCGAAGGCGCCUUUCUGGACUAAUACUGACGCUGAGGAGCGAAGGCGUGGGGAGCAAACAGGAUUAGAUACCCUGGUAGUCCACGCGGUAAACGAUGAGUACUAGCCGCUGGAGCAUUAGUUCAAGUGGCGAAGUUAACACGAUAAGUACUCCGCCUGGGAAGUACGGUCGCAAGAUUA
This 367-nucleotide ribosomal RNA is filed under the name uncultured organism. RNAcentral describes it as "bacterial SSU rRNA". It matches the Rfam family "Bacterial small subunit ribosomal RNA", at positions 526 to 896 of the family's 1533-position model. The record is from RNAcentral.